RNAcentral lists this ribosomal RNA (280 nucleotides) under uncultured bacterium. Its description in RNAcentral is "partial small subunit ribosomal RNA". It matches the Rfam family "Bacterial small subunit ribosomal RNA", at positions 26 to 285 of the family's 1533-position model. The record is from RNAcentral.
AGGGCGAACGUUAGCGGCGGGCCUAACACAUGCAAGUCGAACGAGAAUGAGGGCUUCGGCUCUUUAGUAAAGUGGCGGACGGGUGCGUAACACGUGGGUAAUCUACCUUCCGGCGGGGGACAACAGUCCGAAAGGGAUUGCUAAAUACCGCGUACGUCAGCGAGGUCUACGGAUCUUGUUGGGGAAAGAUGGCCUCUCUUCAGAAGCUGUCACCGGAAGAUGAGCCCGCGCCCCAUCAGCUAGUUGGUGAGGUAAUGGCUCACCAAGGCUUAGACGGGUA